This 181-nucleotide microRNA precursor is filed under the name Musa acuminata subsp. malaccensis (wild Malaysian banana). Its description in RNAcentral is "MIR159 microRNA precursor family". It matches the Rfam family "MIR159 microRNA precursor family". Lineage: Eukaryota; Viridiplantae; Streptophyta; Magnoliopsida; Zingiberales; Musaceae. The record is from Rfam by way of RNAcentral.
GGGAAGUUCAAGGAGCUCUCUUCAGUCCAAUCUACGAGGGGAAGAGGGCACAUCCGGCUGCUGGUUCAUGCAUACCUUUGGGGUGCAACUCCCUGCACCACAGUGGUGAGCAUGCGCCAGGAGACGACCUUCCUUCCUUCUUCUCAUGCUUGGAUUGAAGGGAGCUCCUCUCUCUCUCUCU